GCUUACGGCCAUACCACCCUGAACACGCCCGAUCUCGUCCGAUCUCGGAAGCUAAGCAGGUCGGGCCUGGUUAGUACUUGGAUGGGAGACCGCCUGGGAAUACCAGGUGCUGUAAGCU
Ribosomal RNA from Labrus bergylta (ballan wrasse), 118 nucleotides. The record is from Ensembl. NCBI's taxonomy places the organism in Eukaryota, Metazoa, Chordata, Actinopteri, Labriformes, Labridae.